RNAcentral lists this ribosomal RNA (305 nucleotides) under uncultured bacterium. RNAcentral describes it as "bacterial SSU rRNA". It matches the Rfam family "Bacterial small subunit ribosomal RNA", at positions 334 to 653 of the family's 1533-position model. The record is from RNAcentral.
UUCUCCUACGGGGGGCAGCAGUGGGGAAUAUUGGGCAAUGGGCGCAAGCCUGACCCAGCAACGCCGCGUGAAGGAAGAAGGCUUUCGGGUUGUAAACUUCUUUUCUGAGGGACGAAGAAAGUGACGGUACCUCAGGAAUAAGCCACGGCUAACUACGUGCCAGCAGCUGCGGUAAUACGUAGGUGGCAAGCGUUAUCCGGCUUUAUUGGGUGUAAAGGGCGUGUAGGCGGGAAUGCAAGUCAGAUGUGAAAACUAUGGGCUCAACCCAUAGCCUGCAUUUGAAACUGUAUUUCUUUAGGGCUGGG